This 522-nucleotide ribosomal RNA is filed under the name Sanguinoderma rude. Its description in RNAcentral is "SSU rRNA". It matches the Rfam family "Bacterial small subunit ribosomal RNA", at positions 402 to 950 of the family's 1533-position model. The record is from RNAcentral. Lineage: Eukaryota; Fungi; Basidiomycota; Agaricomycetes; Polyporales; Polyporaceae.
UACUGAAAUCAUAGAAUUUCUUUAAAUUCAUGAUGUCGUAAGGGAAAAUAAUGAUAUUACCUUACUAUGAGUGUCGUCCAAAACUGGUGCCAGAAGACUCGGUAAUACCAGAGACGCAAACGUUAAUCAUCAUAAACAGGCGUAAAGGGUUUGUAGGCAGCUUUCAUAAGAUUAUUUCUUACACAAAUAAAUAAGUGGUCUGAUUGAAAGCUAGAAUCAAAAAGAGGUUAUAGUGUAUAACGCCUAGAGGAGGGCUGAUAUCCUUAGAUCCUAGGCAGAAUACUUAGGGCGAAGGCCACUCUCCACUAAUGAUUGACGCUGAGAAACGAAGGUAAGGGUAGGAAAUAGGAUUAGAUACCCCGGUACUCCUUUCUGUAAACGAUGAAUGGUAGUCAUUAGUAAAAUUAAAAUUAGAGACGAAGUUAACACAAUAACCAUUCCGCCUUGUGAGUACUACUGCAAAGUAGAAAACAAAAAAAUUAGUCGGUCUCGAAGCAAACGGAGUGAAGCAUGUUAUUUAAU